UUUCCGUAGGUGAACCUGCGGAAGGAUCAUUACCGAGUGAGGGUCUCUCAGGCCCGACCUCCCACCCUGUGUUUUUGUGACCUUGUUGCUUUGGCGGGUCCGCCUCGAUGAGAGGCCGCCGGAAGCUCACCGCUUUGGGCCCGUGCCCGCCAGUAGCCCCCUUAAAUUCUUAAUAAACCUGUCGUCUGAGUCUAGAUAUAAUAAAAAAAACUUUCAACAACGGAACUCUUGGUUCUGGCAUCGAUGAAGAACGCAUCAGAUCGGAAAAGCACACCUCUU
RNAcentral lists this unclassified non-coding RNA (279 nucleotides) under plant metagenome. Its description in RNAcentral is "partial contains small subunit ribosomal RNA, internal transcribed spacer 1, and 5.8S ribosomal RNA". The record is from RNAcentral.